CCCCAACAAUCAAAUGAUCUUGAAAUAUCUCAUGGUCGAAUUCUACGAGUCACUUGACCUUCACUACUCAAUCUCGAUUCACUGGUUAGUCAAUCACAAUUUGCAAAAGGGUUUUAUCCUAAUAUGUAGAAUGAAACAGAAUCACAAACUAAGAGAAACAACAAAUAUAAAAUGCAAAUAGAUCACUUGAAGGCUACGGAUAAAAUUAAGAUGAGAACGACUAUGGGGAAACUGCAUUGCUUGGUUUUUGGAUCAUUCUAAGGACUAUAAAAAACUCUACAGCAGCCGAAUAGACAGGAACUAGGCUUGGCAUCCGGGUCUGGCGGGUCCAGAUUAUGGAUUCCGUUCCCCGCCCGAUUCUCCAUCCGGGUUUCAAAAUACCCGAGCCCGGAGCCCAAACGGGGCUUAAAUGAAACCAGGCCCUGAUCCGCCGGAUCUCCGGGUAUACGAGUAAAGCCCGUGCAGUAUAAAAAAACCCAAAACUGCAUAAAUUGCUUGAACAUUGAAUAUAAACUAUGUGAUUAAAUUUCAAUGUUAACUAUGAAAACUUAGCAAUCCAUUAUCCUUCAAAUCAACAUAACCAAAACAAGGAAAUUAACAUAAACUUAGCAAUGACUUUCAUAAACAACAACAAUAAUUCAAUAAUGAGCUCAUCAACAACAGCAAUCCAGCAGCAGCAGUGCAACAAUAAUAGUGGCAGUCCAGCAAUAGUGCCAGUCCAGCAACAGCAGUUUCAGUUAAUUAAACCAUGAAAUAUUUACCUUCUUGAUUGACGAAUGCAGUAACAAACACAAAUGGCCCGAAAGACCAAAAACGAGGAACCUGCAUGUACGAUUCACAAACUGUGAAUGUUUUUUAUUUCAACGAUAUUGAUUGACGGAGAUUAUAAAAUCGGCAAAUUUAAAGGCUUCCUUCAACACUAACCUAAUGAUAGAUGAAAAGAUGGAGAUGAGAACUUGAAUCCACCUUAAGAUGUGUCUCCCCUUUUAUAGUCAAUCACUGAUAUGAAGAAGUUGUGAAUUGAAAGCUGGAAAUCGGAAUUGAAGCCAAAUUCAUGGAGCAAGCCUUUGAGAUUGGAAUCGUUGAUUGAAGGGAAUUAAUUAAGCCAUGGAAGAGUGGAAUUGACGGGGUUUAGAUGGGGAAGAAUGAAAUCACCGUUGAAGAGCUUUUAUGAGAUAGGUAUGAGAAUGGUAACG
This 1196-nucleotide long non-coding RNA is filed under the name Linum usitatissimum (flax). RNAcentral's name for it is "long non-coding RNA (LUSI_LNC007317)". Lineage: Eukaryota; Viridiplantae; Streptophyta; Magnoliopsida; Malpighiales; Linaceae. The record is from RNAcentral.